UAACCUGAAGGAGACUAAGAAGAGGGGUUCAGUGGAAUUGGACAAAGAUGGUUGCUGGAGGGGCGAGAAGGAGUGAUCGAAGAGGGUAAAAACGUCGUCGGCGUCUUCGGAUGCAGAGGGAAAGAGUAGAGAGUCCAUGAAACGGAUGGAUUUGAAAAGUAAAUGUCGAAGGAAGGAAGAUAAAAAACGAAUAGAUUCGUUAAAGGGAAAACGGAGGGGAAAAGUCAAGAAUUUGGCUAUGGUGUGUCGUUUCAGGUUGAGGCCACGGUUCAUCUGUACAAAGAAAAGUUGUGAAUGAAAGCUAAUUACUGUUUUAAAUUAAU
RNAcentral lists this long non-coding RNA (323 nucleotides) under Olea europaea subsp. europaea. Lineage: Eukaryota; Viridiplantae; Streptophyta; Magnoliopsida; Lamiales; Oleaceae. The record is from RNAcentral.